Molecule: transfer RNA, 75 nt
Filed under: Fibrobacteria bacterium
Lineage: Bacteria; Pseudomonadati; Fibrobacterota; Fibrobacteria
Description: tRNA-Thr
Rfam family: tRNA
About the family: Transfer RNA (tRNA) molecules are approximately 80 nucleotides in length. Their secondary structure includes four short double-helical elements and three loops (D, anti-codon, and T loops).
Source: RNAcentral
GCCCAGAUAGCUCAGUGGUAGAGCACUUCCUUGGUAAGGAAGAGGUCUCGGGUUCAAAUCCCGAUCUGGGCUCCA